Transfer RNA from Felis catus (domestic cat), 85 nucleotides. It matches the Rfam family "tRNA". From Rfam's summary of the family: Transfer RNA (tRNA) molecules are approximately 80 nucleotides in length. Their secondary structure includes four short double-helical elements and three loops (D, anti-codon, and T loops). NCBI's taxonomy places the organism in Eukaryota, Metazoa, Chordata, Mammalia, Carnivora, Felidae. The record is from Rfam.
ACCUGGGUGGCUCAGUCAGUUAAGCAUCUGACUUCAGCUCAGAUUAUCAUCUCACAGUUCGUGAGUUUGAGUCCCACAUCAGGUG